Long non-coding RNA from Galeopterus variegatus (Sunda flying lemur), 294 nucleotides. RefSeq lists it as uncharacterized. The transcript has 3 exons. The record is from RefSeq and is a predicted model, not a curated record. NCBI's taxonomy places the organism in Eukaryota, Metazoa, Chordata, Mammalia, Dermoptera, Cynocephalidae.
UUUAAGAAUCUAAAAUGUCUUUUAAAUGCACUGUGUUAUAGAACACUCAUUCUAUUAUUGUAUUCCAGAAUCAUUCUUUUUAGAAUCUAAAAGAAAUUCAGACAGAACCAAAGAAAGGAGGACAAUGGAAAUGUGAAGAAAGCCCAACAACAGAGAACAACUGACAAGCAUACGAAUCUCUCAAAGGUUUCGGGUGCUCUCUGGUUUGAUGCCUUAGAGCUCCCAAAGAUGUCCAAUGGAGAGGCAAGUUGCAGUGGGGAGGGUGGACCCACCUGCAGCUGUUGGCAGCGGUGC